CCAGUAAGUGAGAAAUCGCUUUCACUACCGUGCCAGGUGGCCCCUCCGGGCUGCCCGCACCGGUGUUAACCCAUUGUGAACCGAAAAAACCUUUCGCUUCGGCAGCUGGGCCUGACCGCCCGUCAGCCUGCCGCUAGCACCCAACCUCCAAACCUGUUUGUCAAACAUUGUCUGAUGACCAAAAUUUUCGAAUGAAAAUCA
Molecule: unclassified non-coding RNA, 201 nt
Filed under: uncultured Ascomycota
Lineage: Eukaryota; Fungi; Ascomycota
Description: sequence contains ITS1
Source: RNAcentral